This 1321-nucleotide ribosomal RNA is filed under the name Gibbosula crassa. Its description in RNAcentral is "partial 16S ribosomal RNA". The stretch from base 871 to 1216 matches the Rfam family "Archaeal large subunit ribosomal RNA", at positions 2150 to 2716 of the family's 2987-position model. Lineage: Eukaryota; Metazoa; Mollusca; Bivalvia; Unionida; Margaritiferidae. The record is from RNAcentral.
UACUUAACACUUAAACCUUCUCUAAACCAACUACACCUAAAGAAAAUAUUCAUACACAAAAGUAUUCCACAAAACUACUUCAUACUAUAAACCGCAAGGGCCAAUCACCCAGUCAAUAAAAGAAAAGAUAACCCACCCUCCCUUUUGCAUCAUGGAGAAGCAACACUCAUACUAAUAACGCUUAAAUUCCCGAAAAAAUAUGAGCUACUAACCUUUAAAAUUAAUGUGUCACAAUUAAUUAUACUAGUCGUUAGUAGAAGUAACAAGCCUUUCACAUUUUUUGAUAGCUGGUUUUUCCUAAAAAGCAUUAAAGUGCUAGUUUAUGGGACUAACGACCUUAACAAUCCAUAAAUCAAAAGCUGCCGAGGAUAAGCUCGACAGUUACCUAAAAUACAUAGACUUCACAAGAUCAUUAGUAGGCCUAAAAACAGCCAACUCACUGCGUUUUAGUAACCAAACACCCACAAAACACAUAGAACAAAUAAAUUUCAAUAAAAAGGAAAUCUAAUGUAAAACAACCGACAACAUUAUCAAACAGGCAUUCUAUUAGUAUAACUAACUACAUUCAACACAUUAACUUAAAACCUAAAUGAACAAAACAACCAAUAAUAACAUAUAAUAUACGUAAUGAACUCGACAACACCGUUUUUCGCCUGUUUACCAAAAACAUCGUUUCCCGAAAACACCAAUAUGAGAAAUAAUGCCUGCCCAGUGAACCACAAAGAUUUUAACGGCCGCGUUAGCGUGAGCGUGCUAAGGUAGCGUAAUAAAUAGCCUUUUAAUUGAAGGCCAGUGAACGGCAACACGGAAAACUAUUGUAUCAUGUAUAUAAAUAAAACUUUAUUUUCGGGUGAAAAAGCCCGGAUAAUCGAGGAAGACAAAAAGACCCCGCGGAGCUUUACUUAAUCAAGCUAAACCAAUCCACUAGAUCAGUUAUGCUAAUAAGUUUGGUUGGGGCAACCCUGGAACCAUUAAAGCUUCCAGUACAAUUAAGAACACUAUCAAAAACAUCUCCGGACUAAAAAGAAGCUACCCCGGGGAUAACAGCGUAAUCCAACUCAAGAGUACGCAUCGAAAGUUGGGUUUGCGACCUCGAUGUUGGCUUAAGGUAAUUCACAUAAGCGCAGCCGCUAUGAGAGAAUAGUCUGUUCGACUACUAUACCCUUACAUGAGCUGAGUUAAGACCGGCGUAAGCUAGGUUGGUUUCUAUCUCCUCCACAUCACCAUACUCUCAGUUGUACGAAAGGACCCCGAGAUCUGCGAACUUCAGCAACCUUUAUGAAUUAAAUCACCCAUCAAUCUAAUUCCUUAGCUAAUCAUU